GAGACCUUUCAAGUUUCAAUAGACAAAGGAUCCUGGAGGAAUACAAAUAUUUGGAAGUGGUAUCUAAAAUGUAGCUGCUACCAGUGCCAUUUAAAGUUACCAGAGCAGAAAUUUAAGUUAAGGAGAAAGUGAUACACAAGAUUUUCCAGAAGAACUACAUAAUCAUUAAUGAGCUACAUAACAGACAUAAAGCUAUCAGAGUCACAUAUUAAGUCUUGGCGGCAGCAUGUUAUAAGAUGUUUGAACCAAGACCGUUGACAUACUACCCUUUUGGAUGAAUUAAAGCCUGAAGAAGUUUUGAUCAUUAUGGACUGGACCAUGAAUUUUUUGCCA
Mytilus californianus (California mussel) is the source of this 333-nucleotide long non-coding RNA. RefSeq lists it as uncharacterized. NCBI's taxonomy places the organism in Eukaryota, Metazoa, Mollusca, Bivalvia, Mytilida, Mytilidae. The transcript is spliced from 3 exons. The record is from RefSeq and is a predicted model, not a curated record.